RNAcentral lists this ribosomal RNA (497 nucleotides) under uncultured bacterium. Its description in RNAcentral is "partial 16S ribosomal RNA". It matches the Rfam family "Bacterial small subunit ribosomal RNA", at positions 28 to 507 of the family's 1533-position model. The record is from RNAcentral.
GAUGAACGCUGGCGGCGUGCCUAAUACAUGCAAGUCGAGCGAACGGACGAGAAGCUUGCUUCUCUGAUGUUAGCGGCGGACGGGUGAGUAACACGUGGAUAACCUACCUAUCAGACUGGGAUAACUUCGGGAAACCGGAGCUAAUACCGGAUAAUAUUUUGAACCGCAUGGUUCAAAAGUGAAAGACGGUCUUGCUGUCACUUAUAGAUGGAUCCGCGCUGCAUUAGCUGGUUGGUAAGGUAACGGCUUACCAAGGCAACGAUGCAUAGCCGACCUGAGAGGGUGAUAGGCCACACUGGAACGGAGACACGGUCCAGAGUCCUACGGGAGGCAGCAGUAGGGAAUCUGCCGCAAUGGGCGAAAGCCUGACGGAGCAACGCCGCGUGAGUGAUGAAGGUCUUCGGAGCGUAAAACUCUGUUAUUAGGGAAGAACAGAUGUGUAAGGAACUGUGCACAUCGUGACGGUACCUAAUCAGAAAGCCACGGCUAACUACGUG